Molecule: unclassified non-coding RNA, 263 nt
Filed under: Hevea brasiliensis (rubber tree)
Lineage: Eukaryota; Viridiplantae; Streptophyta; Magnoliopsida; Malpighiales; Euphorbiaceae
Source: RNAcentral
UCACGGAAGAUUCACACAACGGGGCAGGAUGGUGUUAGCCAGCUCUUCGUUCAACUUGACUGGAAGUGGUGGCAUCUGCUUCAUUAAAUUAGGCACGUCAUUCAACUCAUUCAUAAUCUUGAGAAUGUUGUCACGAGUUUGGCAGAGCAGACUGACGUUCUCCUGUAGCUGCAUGGUAGAAAGAUUAGCAGAUAUUUGAUUUAAGGCCUUUGUGUUUUGCUCAAGAAGCUCCUCUGUAACACCACUAAGGGCUUUGUAUGAAA